UAACACAUGCAAGUCGAACGAAGUAGCAAUACUUAGUGGCAGACGGGUGAGUAACAUGUAGGUAUCUGCCCUUUGGCCUGGAAUAACACGAGGAAACUUGUGCUAAUACCGGAUAAGUCUUUACGGAGAAAGCUUUAUGCACCAUUGGAUGAGCCUGCCCUAGAUUAGUUUGUUGGUGGGGUAAUGGCCUACCAAGACUGUGAUCUAUAGCUGAUUUGAGAGGAUGAUCAGCCACAUUGGGACUGAGACACGGCCCAAACUCCUACGGGAGGCAGCAGUGGGGAAUCUUGCACAAUGGAGGAAACUCUGAUGCAGCGAUGCCGCGUGAGUGAAGAAGGCCUUUGGGUUGUAAAGCCUCUUUCGUCGGGGAAGAAAAUGACUGUACCCGAAUAAGAAGGUCCGGCUAACUUCGUGCCAGCAGCCGCGGUAAUACGAAGGGACCUAGCGUAGUUCGGAUUUACUGGGCUUAAAGAGUUCGUAGGUGGUUGAAAAAGUUAGUGGUGAAAUCCCAGAGCUUAACUCUGGAACUGCCACUAAAACUUUUCAGCUAGAGUAUGAUAGAGGAAAGCAGAAUUUCUAGUGUAGAGGUGAAAUUCGUAGAUAUUAGAAAGAAUACCAAUUGCGAAGGCAGCUUUCUGGAUCAUUACUGACACUGAGGAACGAAAGCAUGGGUAGCGAAGAGGAUUAGAUACCCUCGUAGUCCAUGCCGUAAACGAUGUGUGUUAGACGUUGGAAAUUUAUUUUCAGUGUCGCAGCGAAAGCAAUAAACACACCGCCUGGGGAGUACGACCGCAAGGUUAAAACUCAAAUGAAUUGACGGGGACCCGCACAAGUAGUGGAGCAUGUGGUUUAAUUCGAAGAUACGCGCAGAACCUUACCAACACUUGACAUGUUCGUCGCGACUCUAAGAGAUUAGAGUUUUCGGUUCGGCCGGACGAAACACAGGUGCUGCAUGGCUGUCGUCAGCUCGUGUCGUGAGAUGUUGGGUUAAGUCCCGCAACGAGCGCAACCCUCACUUUUAGUUGCCAUCAUUAAGUUGGGCACUCUGAAAGAACUGCCAGUGAUAAGCUGGAGGAAGGUGGGGAUGACGUCAAGUCCUCAUGGCCCUUAUGUGUUGGGCUACACACGUGCUACAAUGGUAUCUACAACAGGAAGCAAGACUGCGAAGUUAAGCAAAUCCCUAAAAGAUACCUCAGUUCGGAUUGCACUCUGCAACUCGAGUGCAUGAAGCUGGAAUUACUAGUAAUCGUGGAUCAGCGUGCCACGGUGAAUGCGUUCCCGGGUCUUGUACACACCGCCCGUCACACCAUGGGAGUUGGUUCUACCUUAAGGCAAGGUUUCAAACCCUUGACCACGGUAUAGUCAGCGACUGGGGUG
RNAcentral lists this ribosomal RNA (1377 nucleotides) under uncultured Pelagibacterales bacterium. RNAcentral's name for it is "bacterial SSU rRNA". It matches the Rfam family "Bacterial small subunit ribosomal RNA". The record is from RNAcentral. Lineage: Bacteria; Pseudomonadati; Pseudomonadota; Alphaproteobacteria; Candidatus Pelagibacterales.